AACGCAUCUUGCGCUCAUUGGUAUUCCAGUGAGCACGCCUGUUUCAGUAUCAAAAACAACCCUCAUUCAAAUUUUUUUUUUGAAUGGUCAUGAAGGAAGCUAGUAAUGGCGACCUUUUAAAUUGAGUAAGGCCUGAAUCUGUUCAUCUAGCCUGAACUUUUUUUUAAUAUAAAGGAAAGCUCUUGCGACUUGGACUUUGUUGGGGCCUCCCAAAUAAAACUCUUUCAUCUUGAUCUGAAAUCAGGUGGGACUACCCGCUGAACUUAA
RNAcentral lists this unclassified non-coding RNA (267 nucleotides) under uncultured Mucorales. Its description in RNAcentral is "sequence contains 5.8S rRNA gene, ITS2, 28S rRNA gene". Lineage: Eukaryota; Fungi; Mucoromycota; Mucoromycetes; Mucorales. The record is from RNAcentral.